Molecule: non-coding RNA, 69 nt
Organism: Rattus norvegicus (Norway rat)
Lineage: Eukaryota; Metazoa; Chordata; Mammalia; Rodentia; Muridae
Source: Rfam
GGGGAUUUAGCUCAGUGGUAGAGCGCUUGCCUAGCAAGUACAAGGCCCUGGGUUCGGUCCCCAGCUCCG